Molecule: ribosomal RNA, 274 nt
Filed under: uncultured bacterium
Lineage: Bacteria
Description: partial 16S ribosomal RNA
Rfam family: Archaeal small subunit ribosomal RNA
Source: RNAcentral
AAACCAGCACCUCAAGUGGUCAGGAGGAUUAUUGGGCCUAAAGCAUCCGUAGCCUGCUCUGUAAGUUUCCGGUUAAAUUCAUUAGCUCAACUAAUGGCCUGCCGGAAAUACUGCAGAGCUAGGGAGUGGGAGAGGUAGACGGUACUCGGUAGGAAGGGGUAAAAUCCUUUGAUCUAUUGAUGACCACCUGUGGCGAAGGCGGUCUACCAGAACACGUUCGACGGUGAGGGAUGAAAGCUGGGGGAGCAAACCGGAUUAGAAACCCUGGUAGUCC